This 253-nucleotide ribosomal RNA is filed under the name uncultured bacterium. Its description in RNAcentral is "partial 16S ribosomal RNA". It matches the Rfam family "Bacterial small subunit ribosomal RNA", at positions 524 to 775 of the family's 1533-position model. The record is from RNAcentral.
UACGUAGGGUGCAAGCGUUAAUCGGAAUUACUGGGCGUAAAGCGUGCGCAGGCGGUGAUGUAAGACAGGUGUGAAAUCCCCGGGCUUAACCUGGGAACUGCAUUUGUGACUGCAUCGCUGGAGUGCGGCAGAGGGGGAUGGAAUUCCGCGUGUAGCAGUGAAAUGCGUAGAUAUGCGGAGGAACACCGAUGGCGAAGGCAAUCCCCUGGGCCUGCACUGGACGCUCAUGCACGAAAGCGUGGGGAGCAACAGG